GAACGAACGCUGGCGGCAGGCUUAACACAUGCAAGUCGAGCGCACCUUCGGGGUGAGCGGCGGACGGGUUAGUAACGCGUGGGAACAUACCCUUUGGUACGGAAUAGCCUCUGGAAACGGAGAGUAAUAGUAUGAGCCCUUCGGGGGAAAGAUUUAUCGCCAAAGGAUUGGCCCGCGUUAGAUUAGGUAGUUGGUGGGGUAAUGGCCUACCAAGCCUACGAUCUAUAGCUGGUUUUAGAGGAUGAUCAGCAACACUGGGACUGAGACACGGCCCAGACUCCUACGGGAGGCAGCAGUGGGGAAUCUUGGACAAUGGGGGCAACCCUGAUCCAGCCAUGCCGCGUGAGUGAUGAAGGCCUUAAGGGUCGUAAAGCUCUUUCGCCUGUGAAGAUAAUGACGGUAGCAGGUAAAGAAACCCCGGCUAACUCCGUGCCAGCAGCCGCGGUAAUACGGAGGGGGUUAGCGUUGUUCGGAAUUACUGGGCGUAAAGCGCACGUAGGCGGACUGGAAA
This 511-nucleotide ribosomal RNA is filed under the name alpha proteobacterium SOGA10. RNAcentral describes it as "bacterial SSU rRNA". It matches the Rfam family "Bacterial small subunit ribosomal RNA", at positions 27 to 586 of the family's 1533-position model. The record is from RNAcentral. Lineage: Bacteria; Pseudomonadati; Pseudomonadota; Alphaproteobacteria.